UACGUAGGGUGCGAGCGUUAAUCGGAAUUACUGGGCGUAAAGCGUGCGCAGGCGGUUAUGUAAGACAGGUGUGAAAUCCCCGGGCUCAACCUGGGAACUGCAUUUGUGACUGCAUAGCUAGAGUACGGUAGAGGGGGAUGGAAUUCCGCGUGUAGCAGUGAAAUGCGUAGAUAUGCGGAGGAACACCGAUGGCGAAGGCAAUCCCCUGGACCUGUACUGACGCUCAUGCACGAAAGCGUGGGGAGCAAACAGG
RNAcentral lists this ribosomal RNA (253 nucleotides) under uncultured bacterium. RNAcentral's name for it is "partial 16S ribosomal RNA". It matches the Rfam family "Bacterial small subunit ribosomal RNA", at positions 524 to 776 of the family's 1533-position model. The record is from RNAcentral.